AGAGUUUGAUCAUGGCUCAGGAUAAACGCUGGCGGCGUGCCUAACACAUGCAAGUCGAACGCCCUUGCGCAAGCAAGGGAGUGGCGGACGGGUGAGGAACACGUGGGUCAUCUACCUUGAGGUGAGGAAUACCACCGGGAAACCGGUGACAAUACCGCAUACGUUUCUUUCGAGAAACAAAGCUUCGCAAGAGGCGCCAC
This 200-nucleotide ribosomal RNA is filed under the name uncultured bacterium. Its description in RNAcentral is "partial 16S ribosomal RNA". It matches the Rfam family "Bacterial small subunit ribosomal RNA", at positions 8 to 221 of the family's 1533-position model. The record is from RNAcentral.